UACGUAGGGUGCGAGCGUUAAUCGGAUUUACUGGGCGUAAAGCGUGCGCAGGCGGCCCGUUAAGACAGGUGUGAAAUCCCUGGGCUCAACCUAGGAAUUGCGCUUGUGACUGGCGGGCUCGAGUACGGUAGAGGGGGGUGGAAUUCCUGGUGUAGCAGUGAAAUGCGUAGAGAUCAGGAGGAACACCGAUGGCGAAGGCAGCCCCCUGGGCCUGUACUGACGCUCAUGCACGAAAGCGUGGGGAGCAUACAGG
This 253-nucleotide ribosomal RNA is filed under the name uncultured microorganism. Its description in RNAcentral is "partial 16S ribosomal RNA". It matches the Rfam family "Bacterial small subunit ribosomal RNA", at positions 524 to 776 of the family's 1533-position model. The record is from RNAcentral.